RNAcentral lists this ribosomal RNA (500 nucleotides) under uncultured bacterium. RNAcentral's name for it is "partial 16S ribosomal RNA". It matches the Rfam family "Bacterial small subunit ribosomal RNA", at positions 30 to 523 of the family's 1533-position model. The record is from RNAcentral.
AUUGAACGCUGGCGGAAUGCUUUACACAUGCAAGUCGAACGGUAACAGGGAGCUUGCUCCGCUGACGAGUGGCGAACGGGUGAGUAAUAUAUCGGAACGUGCCCAAGAGUGGGGGAUAACGUCGCGAAAGUUACGCUAAUACCGCAUACGAUCCAAGGAUGAAAGCAGGGGACCUUCGGGCCUUGUGCUCCUGGAGCGGCCGAUAUCUGAUUAGCGAGUUGGUGAGGAAAAGGCUCACCAAGGCGACGAUCAGUAGCUGGUCUGAGCGGACGAGCAGCCACACUGGAAGUGAGACAAGGUCCAGACUCCUACGGGAGGCAGAGGUGGGGAAUUUUAGACAAGGGCGGCAACCCUGAUCCAGCAAUGCCGCGUGAGUGAAGAAGGCCUUAGGGUUGUAAAGCUCUUUUGUCAGGGAAGAAAAGUGUACGGCUAAUAUCCGUGCCUCAUGACGCUACCUGAAGAAUAAGCACCGGCUAACUACGUGCCAGCAGCCGCCGUAA